Astatotilapia calliptera (eastern happy) is the source of this 1100-nucleotide long non-coding RNA. The record is from Ensembl. Lineage: Eukaryota; Metazoa; Chordata; Actinopteri; Cichliformes; Cichlidae.
AAUCCCUCGAUCAAUGUUUAAAUUAACACUCACGCAUUGACUCUGUCGGCUAUGUUUUGCCAUGCAUGCUUUUGCAGCUGUGGCUGUGUUACUUUUUUCCGCGGAAUUUGCAUGUUAUCGGCAUAUGCUGCCAUCAGAAUUUCGGCCUCAAGCGCUGUGAAAUACAUUGACCGCGCCUUCUUUCCCUCCGUCUCCAUGGUGACUCGCUUAAUCUGUGCUCCACUAAUCAGGGCUUUAUGUAUCCUCGUCCGCGCGCUUCACUUGGGGUUAAAGCAACUCCGCGUUGACUGAACUAAUUGUUAUCAGCCUUUCUGAAACCGAAUAUUCCGAGUUGGACAGUUCGGGGUUACUCAACCGUGAGUGUCGUUUUUCACUCUGAGUUUUCCAAACCGGCUUCCUGAAACAGGGCCCUGGUCCCCGCACCUCGCCUGCUGACAUUAGUCAGGCGCUAUGUUUUGUUUUGUUUAUCCUCCUCUCUCGCCUCUGCUCUCUCUUUCUCUCUCGUUCUCUCCCACUCUCUCUUUCUCCUGCCGGGGCGGAGCUCAGAAUGCGCUCCGCCCGUGGCCCACGCACCUGGGGAUGAUCAGCACACCUGUGGCUGAUUACUAGAAUUAGUCCUACUUAAGAUGGUGAACCUGCUCUACUCGUCGCUGGAUCGUUGAGCCAUCAGCAUUCCCCCCGGACCCGUUUCCUUGUGUACUGUGACUGAGCAAGAGUAGUAGAGGAAAGAAGAGGAGCUGUGUGUGCUUGCGAGAGCUGUAUGGAAAUCUCCCCUCCCUGGACUCCUGCCCCUUUCACUCCCGGACCCUGGAACCACGGCCCCUUUUCCCCAGACACCGUUGUGUAUAUUUAUUUCACUGUGGAGAACACUGUAAAUAAAUUCACUUUUGGUUUGAAGGAACUUGUGGUCUGCGCCUGAGUCCGCUCCGCUAACCGUGACAAUACCACCUUUUUAAACGGUAACUGUAAAGGAAUACAGUUACUCUAUUUUGUAUUUUAAAUACACAACGGCGGUACAUGUAUUCCGUUACUCCCCAACACUGCAACCGUGAUGAACAAAGGAUGAACGCCUUGAGGCGACUUUUGUUGUGAUUUGGCGC